GAUGAACGCUGGCGGCGCGCCUAACACAUGCAAGUCGAACGGUUAAAGCACCUUUUAGGUGUGUAUAAAGUGGCGAACGGCUGAGUAACACGUGGGCCACCUGCCCUCCUCUUGGGGAUAGCCUCGGGAAACCGAGGAUAAUACCCGAUACUUCAAUGUGGCCGCAUGACGACAUUGAGAAAGCUUUUGCGGAGAAGGAUGGGCCCGCGGCCUGUUAGCUUGUUGGUGGGGUAGAGGCCUACCAAGGCAAUGAUGGGUAGCUGGGUUGAGAGACCGACCAGCCAGAUUGGGACUGAGACACGGCCCAGACUCCUACGGGAGGCAGCAGUGGGGAAUCUUGCACAAUGGGCGAAAGCCUGAUGCAGCGACGCCGCGUGCGGGACGAAGGCCUUCGGGUUGUAAACCGCUUUCAGCAGGGACGAGGCGAUAAGUGACGGUACCUGCAGAAGAAGCCCCGGCUAACUACGUG
Molecule: ribosomal RNA, 469 nt
Filed under: uncultured bacterium
Lineage: Bacteria
Description: partial 16S ribosomal RNA
Rfam family: Bacterial small subunit ribosomal RNA
Source: RNAcentral